This 437-nucleotide long non-coding RNA is filed under the name Capsicum annuum. Its description in RNAcentral is "long non-coding RNA (CANN_LNC018899)". Lineage: Eukaryota; Viridiplantae; Streptophyta; Magnoliopsida; Solanales; Solanaceae. The record is from RNAcentral.
UCACGUGUGUUGUAAACAAUGAGAAUUGAGGCGUUGGGGUUAUGUCCACCUUCUGAGGUAUACGUCUCUAUUGGCUAUGAGUGUGUAGAGUCUUGACAUGUAAUUGCUUAUAGAGAAUUGUAGUCGAUGGUAAAUCCAAGCGUCUCUCGACCUAAACAAGGACUAUUUCACUUUAACUCUCUCGAGCUUAAAGCGUGACUAACGGUACGAAUUCUCCAAGAAGUUAGUCCAGGUACGGCACUAGCUUUUUAAUAGGAAAGGGUGUCCUACUACCUGUACAUUAUCUCUUGUCCAGACAAAUAACUUUUCUCUCGAACAAGUCAGAUGUUAGACUGGCGUUGGUCUAUGCGUCUUCUUUUCUAGACAAAUAACCUUUCUCUCGAACAGGUUAGAUGUUAGAAUGGCGUGUUCUUGUGUUUGAACCGCAAAGAAUGUAG